GCCACAGUAGCUCAACGGCAGAGCGCUUGCCUUGUAAGCAGGAGGUUGAGGGUUCAAAUCCCUCCUGUGGCU
Molecule: transfer RNA, 72 nt
Filed under: Candidatus Rehaiarchaeum fermentans
Lineage: Archaea; Nanobdellati; Candidatus Parvarchaeota
Description: tRNA-Thr
Rfam family: tRNA
About the family: Transfer RNA (tRNA) molecules are approximately 80 nucleotides in length.
Source: RNAcentral